UAGGGAAUCUUCCACAAUGGGCGAAAGCCUGAUGGAGCAACGCCGCGUGUGGGAUGAAGGGUUUCGGCUCGUAAAACNCUGUUGUAAGAGAAGAAUGACAUUGAGAGUAACUGUUCAAUGUGUGACGGUAUCUUACCAGAAAGGAACGGCUAAAUACGUGCCAG
RNAcentral lists this ribosomal RNA (164 nucleotides) under uncultured bacterium. Its description in RNAcentral is "partial 16S ribosomal RNA". It matches the Rfam family "Bacterial small subunit ribosomal RNA", at positions 355 to 511 of the family's 1533-position model. The record is from RNAcentral.